Long non-coding RNA from Salvelinus fontinalis (brook trout), 1341 nucleotides. RefSeq lists it as uncharacterized. The transcript has 3 exons. The record is from RefSeq and is a predicted model, not a curated record. NCBI's taxonomy places the organism in Eukaryota, Metazoa, Chordata, Actinopteri, Salmoniformes, Salmonidae.
UUGAAAACUGUGUGUCACUGCUGUUGCUGAUUCUUUCAGCAAGCUUCUUUUUUUUUUUACUUUUAAUGUGAGAUUUUCAUUUCCCCUCUAGAAAACGGCUGCUGUGUGUUGUUGUGGCUUCGGCUUGGGCAACAUGUGGUUCCUGUUGGGUGUGACACUACCAGUUUCUGAUUUUUAGGAGGGGUUGAACUUCAUCCUAGUUCAGCAUGAAUAAUCUAAGACAAUAUGAGUCUCCAGCUGAGAGUGAUGUAAGACAUUCUAGACGCUCCAUCAACCUUGUCAUUUGGAAUAUUUGAGAGCUCGUUGUUGAAAUCUGUGGUUAAAUCGAACUGACUGGAAAAGCCAACAAUGACAUCCACACAAAGAAGUGGUUGGCAUUGGACUGUGAAGGUGUCAUUACUGGAGCUGCAAUGACAACAAUGUAGAUGCAUAUUUGAGAUGCAAAUUAAUAAUGAAAAUGUAAUGAUAGAGUACAGAUCUGUCUGUGUGUCUAAAUGAGGACUAAUUGUUGAUUUGAGUACAGAUCUGUCUGUGUGUCUAAAUGAGGACUAAUUGUUGAUUUGAGUACAGAUCUGUCUGUGUGUCUAAAUGAGGACUAAUUGUUGAUUUGAGUACAGAUCUGUCUGUGUGUCUAAAUGAGGACUAAUUGUUGAUUUGAGUACAGAUCUGUCUGUGUGUCUAAAAGAAGACUAAUUGUUGAUUUGAGUACAGAUCUGUCUGUGUGUCUAAAUGAGGACUAAUUGUUGAUUUGAGUAUUCAGCCAGGACUCAGGAACAACUGUCAACAACACUGAAUCCUAAUCAGGGCUGAAUGACUCCUUAAAUAACUCUCAUCAAAGUCACAUUGACUGUAAUGAAGCAUCACCAUCAGGGACAAACCAUUGGGAACAAACAGCUAGACCUCGUCCAAUGCAACAACAAAGAGCUGGCAUCCAGCAGAACAUGUAGGCUAUUGUGUGUGACUGUAGGAAAAACAAAUACGAGUUUAGACCUACAGUGAUAUCAUUUGUAGCUGUUAUUUAUUCAAAAUAUUUUGCUGUUACCUUUUAUUUCACCAAGAGUUGCAGGUAGAUUUCAAUGGUUAACCCAUUUGUACAAGUCCUGUUGGAUAUGUGGGUUUUAACCCAGAAGAUCGGUUGCUUUCAGAUACAAAAUGUGUAUGUUUCACAGCCUACAGCCAGGCCAAUGUACUACUCCUCCAGCUCUACUCAUAGUGCUGCGUCUUGUGGACUGGUGACGGGUGCAUGUUUCGGCAGGUGAGAACAAGGUAAAUGUUGAGGCAUGUAAAAUCACUCCAAACAAAAAUACAUAUGUUUGUACCACUAAUGGUAGUUACAUUCAA